RNAcentral lists this long non-coding RNA (8056 nucleotides) under Brassica napus (rape). RNAcentral's name for it is "long non-coding RNA (BNAP_LNC008188)". Lineage: Eukaryota; Viridiplantae; Streptophyta; Magnoliopsida; Brassicales; Brassicaceae. The record is from RNAcentral.
UGAGAGCAAACCGGUGUGGAAAGUGACACUGAACAACCCAUGUAUAUGCUUGCUCACUAACUUAAAGUUGUCAUGCACCGGUUUUGAAUCGGUCGUGCCUGUUGAUACGUUGAUAAAAACCGGUGACGUGUGUGUUCUCAACAAAGGUAUACAAGGAGACUUUGUUUUCAAAUAUGCAUGGGAUACUAGCUUCGACUUCAAGGUCAUUGAUGGCACGUUUUGCGCAUGAAAGCUUUCGAGUAAAUUCGAGCUUAAUUGAACUGAUGAUAUUUACUCAAAUAUGUUUAGAAUUUUGAUAUGAAUAAAAAAUAAUUUCCUUAAUAUUGAGUUUUAUUAGCUAUUUGGCACGAACUUGAUUUUGUUUUUAAUUAGAACAGUACAGUAUUCUUAAACCAUCAAGCAUGUAUUUUGCCGUAAGUGAGUUUAAUUAAUUUUUAGGGGCCAAAAUAGCUAAAGAUCCAAUGUCUCAGAUGUCUCUAAGAUAUGUAUGUCAAUGUUAAAGUCCCAAAUUUAAGUUGUCAUUGAUUCAAUUGUAGUUAAUUUUCCAUUCUAUAUUUGUAUUUCAAAGACUGUUGUUUUGACUUAAUUUAAUAUGAGUGAUAAAUUUUAUUGAGAAACAUAUAAAUUUUGUAGAAAAUUAAAAAUCAAUGGAAAGAAAUGUUUAUUUAAUUUUUAUUUUAAUACAUAAUAAAUAACCAAUUACAUCAUCAUAAAAUCUCUUAUUCUAUUACAUUUGAUGAUCAAUCUUCCAAAAAAUGUGAUAUUGAUGAACAAUUCCAUGCAUAAUGUUUCCACGAUGAAGCACUCUUCGAAACACUUACAUUAACGGAUGGUUCUACAUGUACGACAUCCUCGAUGAACAUGAUCUCUCCACAGCAGACGACCACAACGAAUAGUUCUGCCAAUAGUACUUUGAAACCUCAUUUAAACUUAACAUCUUAUAAUCUGUAAGAAAUUACAUUUUCUGGGAUUAGAACCUAAUAUAGUAUAACUUCUUUAAAUUAAUACUCUAUAAAUUAAUAUACACUAAAAAUCUCUAUAAAAUAAUAUAAUUUUAUAGUCCCAAAUCGAGUUUUUGGUUCUAUUAGUAUAUCAAUAAAUUAAUAUCUCUAUAAAUUAAUAAAAAAAUUAUAGUUUUGGUUUAGUCCUAACAUUAUUAAUUUAUAGAGGUUUCACUGUACCUAGAUGUAAAAGCUUUUUAUUAGUAUGUGUGAAAAUGCUAAAACAUCAAUAUUUAAAACGUCAAUAUUUACGGAUGGAGUACUAUUAUAAAAAAUAAAUAAAGUAGGUAGUAUUUAAUAUUAUUAUUUAGAUGCCUAAAAAAUAAAAUAAAAUAAUUGUUCAUUUUAAUACUGAUAAUAAUAAUAUAUCUCUAUGAAGUAUUAGAAAAUACUUUACCAACAUAGAAAUGAAAAACCUGUGAGAUAUUAAUUAUUUUAAAAGUAUAUGCAUGAAACAUAUAGUUUGACAAUAUUGUUUUUAAAUUUUAAAUUUAUUUUUAUAAGAGAAUCAUUAGUCAUGGUUUCUGAACAUUAUUUUAUUAAUGUCUUAAAGUAACUCAAUUAUGUAAUAAUUAAAAUUAUUUUAAAACUAGCUCUUCCACUUACAGAAUAACACGUGACAAGUUAGUUUCUUAACUUUUCAAUUAAAAUACCAUCAGCAACAAUCCAUUAUUGUUUUUUCUUACGUUUAUUUGAUUUAUCAAUACUAUUAAAAUGGAACGGGUUCCAAGAAAUCUACUUACAAAAAAUUGUUGUCCUUAUUAAUUAUAACUUCGAAUGUUUUAUAAUAUAUAUGCACUAAAUGUGUUAUUUGGCUUUACACUCCCUUAUUAUUUGCUAGACCAUCCCACAAAUAGUUCUUAUAUAAAUGCAUUUCAGCAUUUAUUAUCUUUACAUAUUGUUUUAUUACCACACGAUCUCAACAUCUAUUAGGCAUACAUAUUUUUAAAAAUCAAAAGUCAAAAUGAAAUGCCUUCAAAUAAUUAAACCAUUUCCGUAAUGUAUGUUUUUACUAUAUUAUCGAUAUACUGAUAUUGUAACCGUUAAGAAACUAUAUAUUAAAUUUUAUAUCACGCUUAGUAGUUAGUACUAUAUAUAAUAUGUACAUUCGUAGUUUUCUAUGAUUUAGAUUAUACUUCAACAUCCAAUAUUGCACUCAGUUUAUGUACGGGUUUUUAAAAACAUUCAUUACGGAAAUUAUUAUAUACUACUAAGAUUAAAUUAAACCAUUUUACUUAGUUUAAAAUAUUAUACCUGCCAAUACUGAAGAUAUAAAAUAAAAAUACAUAAACAAAAAUCUAAAACUAACUUUUUAAAAUCAAUUCCUUUUAAUAUCUGAACAAACAAUCGAACAAAAAUUUGAAAUUGCUUUAGUCAAAAAAAUAAACGGAAAUCGACAAUGCGAAUUUCGGUUCCCACAUUCACCACGAAAGUGACCUUCUCGUUAAUGACCAAGAAUCAUGAGCGUGAAUGACUCUAUGAACCUUACAAAGUAUAGAAUUAAAAUCUUGGGAAUUUUUGGAUGAAUAUAGAGAGAAAGUGAAAAAUAUGUAGUUUUGUGCAUAAGAAAUGAGAUAUCAAGAGUGGAAAUCGAUUUUUAGGUGCAUUAAGAGUUUCAAAUUGGUUGUUCAUGGUGGUUGGUAUAUUUAUGGAAUGUAAAUAUUGUAGAUAGUUGAUGAAGGUGAAGAUGAUAGAGUAAAACACUCAUAUUUAAAAAAAUUGGCAUUUUUGUAAAUAAUUCAAACUUUUAGAGUGAAUAAGACAAAUGAAAGUUCGAAAAAUCAUGAGUUAGUUUUGGGGUUUAGUUAAAGUUUUGAGUCAUAUUUAAAAAGACCCUUGUAUAUUUUAGGCGUUGGAUGAUAUUUUUUUAAAGAAUAGUCCUUUUGUAACAACUAAUCGGAAAGUUUUUUUAAACUGAUACUUUUUUUUUGAAAAGUUAAUAUAUUAGUUAGUUUGAAAAUUAAUUUAGAUAUGUUUUAUGGUUGUUUUAGUUGACAAAAGAUAAUAAAUGUUAAAAGUUAGGAUUAGGUAGUUCUCAAUGGCAUUGAAAUGUAACUAAAAAUUAUUUUAAAGGUAAGUUCAUAUUUGUACUUCAAUUUUCAUAGAAUAAAUGUAUUUUGUAAGUAAAUUAAGUUAAUUUUUUUUUUCUCAAAUAUCAAAUAUAUUAUGGUAAUAUUAAUUUGAGAUAAUUGGCUAAGGAAAUUGGGUAACUACCCCCAAACGCUGAAAAAUUCUUCGUACAUUGUAUACUUUUGGUCUCUCUUGACAGUAUUACCCCUGCCCAAACAUUCAUGCCUUUCUCUCUCUUUCCCCAAUCUCCAUAUGUAUUAUAUCUCUCUAUUUUUUUAUUUUUUCUUCUCAAAACACAUAUCUUUUCUCAAUCUUCAUUGAAGUUGAAAGUUUCUCCUCAAACCCACAAUCAAUUUUCUCUUCGAAUCUUUUAACAAUACACAAUUCCUACACUAAUCUCCUCAUCUUCAACUCAAUUCUUAGACACACCAAAAAAAAUCCUCCAAUUUAUAAAUCUCCCAUCAAUGAAUUAAGGAUUACAAUUGGUUGCAAGAAUCAAUAAUCUAGAGAGAAAAAAAAAACACAGUAGGAAACUCAAGCGUAUAUUGUUGUACGUUAACAAAUAAUAUUUAACGUUAUGUUUUAAAGUAAAAUAUAAUAAAAAUUGUUAGUGGAUAACUUCUUUAUUAGACACAUAUACUUAUCACGUAUCAAAAAUAAUUACUUCAAUCUUAUAUGUUAUUUUACCAUAUAAAAUAUAAUGUUAAGUGUAAUUUUUGGUUUAUAUAAGAUAUAAUCAUUGUUAACCUUAAAUAAUAAACAUAUAAUGAUGUAGUUAGUCCGAUAUCUUAUUUUGUUGCAUUUAACAAACCAUGUGGCAGCUAACGUUAUAUACAUUUAACAUCUUACCAGCCAUUUUAAAAGCGACAAAAUGUUUCAUAACAGCUAGCCAAAUAUGUAUUAGAUAAUGAACAUAUUUUGUAGAAAUUUACAAACCAUGUAUUAUAAUACAUCUAUUUUAAAGCAAAUGAGGCUUAACGUUAAAUUAUAACAUAAACGUUACAUGGUUUUGUAGCGGAUAAAUUUUUCAUCAGAAGUAUAACUUAUAAAGCACAACAUAAAUGACUUCAAUCCAUUAUGAUAUUUACAGAUAAACAUAAACUUGGAUGUAAUAUUGGUUUAUAUAUAAUAUAAUAAUUCUUAACGGUUAAGCAUAUAAAAUGGGUAACUACCCCCAAACGCUGAAAAAUUCUUCGUACAUUGUAUACUUUUGGUCUCUCUUGACAGUAUUACCCCUGCCCAAACAUUCAUGCCUUUCUCUCUCUUUCCCCAAUCUCCAUAUGUAUUAUAUCUCUCUAUUUUUUUAUUUUUUCUUCUCAAAACACAUAUCUUUUCUCAAUCUUCAUUGAAGUUGAAAGUUUCUCCUCAAACCCACAAUCAAUUUUCUCUUCGAAUCUUUUAACAAUACACAAUUCCUACACUAAUCUCCUCAUCUUCAACUCAAUUCUUAGACACACCAAAAAAAAUCCUCCAAUUUAUAAAUCUCCCAUCAAUGAAUUAAGGAUUACAAUUGGUUGCAAGAAUCAAUAAUCUAGAGAGAAAAAAAAAACACAGUAGGAAACUCAAGCGUAUAUUGUUGUACGUUAACAAAUAAUAUUUAACGUUAUGUUUUAAAGUAAAAUAUAAUAAAAAUUGUUAGUGGAUAACUUCUUUAUUAGACACAUAUACUUAUCACGUAUCAAAAAUAAUUACUUCAAUCUUAUAUGUUAUUUUACCAUAUAAAAUAUAAUGUUAAGUGUAAUUUUUGGUUUAUAUAAGAUAUAAUCAUUGUUAACCUUAAAUAAUAAACAUAUAAUGAUGUAGUUAGUCCGAUAUCUUAUUUUGUUGCAUUUAACAAACCAUGUGGCAGCUAACGUUAUAUACAUUUAACAUCUUACCAGCCAUUUUAAAAGCGACAAAAUGUUUCAUAACAGCUAGCCAAAUAUGUAUUAGAUAAUGAACAUAUUUUGUAGAAAUUUACAAACCAUGUAUUAUAAUACAUCUAUUUUAAAGCAAAUGAGGCUUAACGUUAAAUUAUAACAUAAACGUUACAUGGUUUUGUAGCGGAUAAAUUUUUCAUCAGAAGUAUAACUUAUAAAGCACAACAUAAAUGACUUCAAUCCAUUAUGAUAUUUACAGAUAAACAUAAACUUGGAUGUAAUAUUGGUUUAUAUAUAAUAUAAUAAUUCUUAACGGUUAAGCAUAUAAAAUUUGAAUAGACAAUGGUAAAGUUAGCAUGCUAACCUUUUUGGUAUCAUCUACCAAACCACAUAUCAGCUAUCGAUGUUAUUUUUAGCAUCUUAGCAGCUAUUAGUUAAAUCGAAAAUAUAUUUUGUAACAUCUAACCAAACAAGUAUCAGAUAAAUGAAACAUAUUCUAUAGAAAUUUAUAGCCAUGUAUCAUAUAACCAUAACUAAUUUGAAACAAAGAAAUUUAAUGUAAAGCUUUAACAACUAACCAAACUUGUAUAUGCUCACGAGACUUAUUUGGUAACAUCUAAUCAAACAUUUACUAGUUAACAGAAAUCUUGUUCUUGUUAUACAGCCAUGUUCCUUUACCAGCAUGUGAGUCGAAGAGAUCUCCCUUUUAUGCGCCAUAAAAUUGCUUAAAACGUUUAUAUCAUAGUGGAUCUCAAACAAAUCGACAAAGAAGCUCUGGUAGACGAACUCAUCGAGAGGAUAAUACUCUUUGGAUCUAGACAAUGUGUUGAAAGAAAUACACUAAAAUGAAAAGGUAUUCACAUCGAUGAAAACAGAAAAGAAAUGAAGAAUCCAUUGUAGAAAUGAAAAAAAUGAAUUUAAAGAUUUUAAAGAGAUAUAAGAGAGAGAAAGAGAAGAAGAUUAAUUAUUUGGACAAGAGAUUUUGUAGAAGAGACACGGGAGAGAAAGGGAGAGAGACAGAAGGAUUUUGGUCAGGGUUAGUUUUGGGGUUUAAAAAUAUCAAUAGUGUAUGUGACCUAAUUACUCUAUUAAUUUUGCACAUACAGUAAGGUCAUCAUCUCAUUAUCAAUAUCUACUCUUUUUUUUUUUUGUAACACCAUCAGUAUCUACUUUUUAUUCUUUUUUUCCAUUUUCUGUAUAUUUUAGGUUUUUGAUAGUUACGCGAACUUUUUUUUAAAGAUCAAUAUUAAUUACUAUUUAACUAUAAAAAAUAAUAUUUAUCACAAAAGAAAUCUCCAAUCUCUCUUAAUGUAAUGUAUAAGUUUUUAUAUAGAAAUUCAAAAAAUAACAAUAAAGUUUUUAAAAUAUUUAAAAUAAAAAUCUUAAUUUUUAAAAUAAAUUAUAAGAUAUCUUCAUCGCUAACAAUGACGAUUUCUAACAUAUCAAUGUUAAUUGUAACGGUUUCAUACAUAUCUUUGAUAACAAUGAUGAUUUCAGACAUAUCUCCUCCAGUGAGGGUGAUGAUUUUUUACAUAUCACUGUUGACAAUAAUAACUUUUUUUUUUUGAAACUGGACAAUAAUAAUUUUUGUUGAAGAUUAUUUAUAUAUUAUUAUUAUUGACCAAGAUUUUUUCUUUAUAACCAUUAACAACUGUAUUGACAUAUCUAUGAUGAAAAUUUUCGACAUAUCAUGGUUGCAAUGACAGUAGGUAUGUUGAUAACAAUGUAUUUAACAAUUGUCCUUGGUAACGAUGAUAUGUCAAUUUUUCAAACAAAAAAUCUUUUUUUUUUUUCAAAACUAUUUGUAAUUUAUAAUUUUAAUUUCCUAAUUUUGUGAAAUUUUCUGAAUUUUUUUUUAAUUUUCUGUCUUUCUAUUUAUUUAUUAAUUAAAUAAUUAUCUGUUAUAAAAAAUGAAACAUCAUCGUUUUUGCAAGUGCUGGUCCGUUCUUUUACGUGAUGAACAAGUAGGCUAGAAUGGAGUUUAAAAAAAAAUAUAAAUGCAAUUUUGAUGGUUAAAAAUGUUAGUAAAAACCUUGAAGGUUUUUUUACAACGAACGGCUAUUCUAUUAAUCAAACUUGAUGUGGUCUGAAUAACUAGACCGAAAUAGAACAAUCAAUAAAACAAAGCUCUCUAUAGAAAGACCUCGCAGUUCUAGCUAAAAAGUCGGAAAUCUGAUUUUGCGCUCGUAAAAUAGGAGUGAUAUUAAGGUUUAAAGUGUUAACAAGUGUCACUUUGAUGGUUUUUAUGCUAUUUCCCUUUAAUUAAUUUGCAUGCAUGAAGUUUAUGAAGUCUGAAAGAAAAAAAAUACAAAUAAAUUAGCCUUGACCCAGUAAUUUGAAAUUACCUGAAAGAAAAUAAUUGAAUAAUCUCUUUCGUAAUUUUGAUAAACAAAUGGUUAGAGUUGACCCUAUGCAUGAAUUCUUCUACCUUCUGACUCUAUGCAUGAGCUUUUACCUUCUGACAAAAGAAACAUUUAAUUUUGGUCAACAUCUUUAUUAAUACCAAAACGUUUUUUGCCAUUAAAAAUAAACCCAAUGCCUCAAUAUAAAUACUCAGUAACACAACUCAACAGCUGCAAACUCAUUUCAUACUCACUACAAUUUCCUAACUUUGUUUGAUAAAAAUUCUAAAGACCAGACCCAGAUAUGGCUUGCAAACUUCUUUGCCUCCUCGUCGUCUUCGCCAUCAUCACCUUCGUUACCCACGGUAUUUAUAUUUUGUAUACGUAAUAUAAUAAAGACUUUUAUGUGUGUUUUUGUUUACAAUAGUAUAAUAUAAUAUUUUCGUUGGAAAAUUUGGAAGGGUCUGGACCACAUUGUGGACUUAAUGACGUAACUCUGAGACAAUCGAAGUCCGGAAUGGUUGAGAGCAAACCGGUGUGGAAAGUGACACUGAACAACCCCUGUAUAUGCUUGCUCACUAACUUAAAGUUGUCAUGCACCGGUUUUGAAUCGGUCGUGCCUGUUGAUACGUUGAUAAAAACCGGUGACGUGUGUGUUCUCAACAAAGGUAUACAAGGAGACUUCGUUUUCAAAUAUGCAUGGGAUACUAGCUUCGACUUCAAGGUCAUUGAUGGCACGUUUUGCGCAUGAAAGCUUUCGAGUAAAUUUGAGCUUAAUUGAACU